GACGAACGCUGGCGGCGUGCUUAACACAUGCAAGUCGAACGGAAAGGCCUCUUUCGGGGGGUACUCGAGUGGCGAACGGGUGAGUAACACGUGAGUAACCUGCCCUUGACUUUGGGAUAACUUCAGGAAACUGGGGCUAAUACCGGAUAGGAGCUCCUGCUGCAUGGUGGGGGUUGGAAAGUUUCGGCGGUUGGGGAUGGACUCGCGGCUUAUCAGCUUGUUGGUGGGGUAGUGGCUUACCAAGGCUUUGACGGGUAGCCGGCCUGAGAGGGUGACCGGCCACAUUGGGACUGAGAUACGGCCCAGACGCCUACGGGAGGCAGCAGUGGGGAAUAUUGCACAAUGGGUGGAGGCCUGAUGCAGCAACGCCGUGUGCGGGAUGACGGCCUUCGGGUUGUAAACCGCUUUCGCUCAUGACGAAGCUUUGUGUGACGGUAGUGGGUAAAGAAGCACCGGCUAACUACGUG
RNAcentral lists this ribosomal RNA (467 nucleotides) under uncultured bacterium. Its description in RNAcentral is "partial 16S ribosomal RNA". It matches the Rfam family "Bacterial small subunit ribosomal RNA", at positions 28 to 507 of the family's 1533-position model. The record is from RNAcentral.